Non-coding RNA from Salmo salar (Atlantic salmon), 61 nucleotides. Lineage: Eukaryota; Metazoa; Chordata; Actinopteri; Salmoniformes; Salmonidae. The record is from Rfam.
UGUAAACAUCCCCGACUGGAAUCUGUUCUACAUCAUCAGAGCUUUCAGUCAGGUGUUUGCU